This 468-nucleotide ribosomal RNA is filed under the name uncultured bacterium. RNAcentral describes it as "partial 16S ribosomal RNA". It matches the Rfam family "Bacterial small subunit ribosomal RNA", at positions 28 to 507 of the family's 1533-position model. The record is from RNAcentral.
GACGAACGCUGGCGGCGUGCUUAACACAUGCAAGUCGAACGGAAAGGCCCUGCUUUUGUGGGGUGCUCGAGUGGCGAACGGGUGAGUAACACGUGAGUAACCUGCCCUUGACUUUGGGAUAACUUCAGGAAACUGGGGCUAAUACCGGAUAGGAGCUCCUGCUGCAUGGUGGGGGUUGGAAAGUUUCGGCGGUUGGGGAUGGACUGGCGGCUUAUCAGCUUGUUGGUGGGGUAGUGGCUUACCAAGGCUUUGACGGGUAGCCGGCCUGAGAGGGUGACCGGCCACAUUGGGACUGAGAUACGGCCCAGACUCCUACGGGAGGCAGCAGUGGGGAAUAUUGCACAAUAGGCGGAAGCCUGAUGCAGCAACGCCGCGUGCGGGAUGACGGGCUUCGGGUUGUAAACCGCUUUCGCCUGUGACGAAGCGUGAGUGACGGUAAUGGGUAAAGAAGCACCGGCUAACUACGUG